This 861-nucleotide long non-coding RNA is filed under the name Carica papaya (papaya). RNAcentral describes it as "long non-coding RNA (CPAP_LNC008793)". The record is from RNAcentral. Lineage: Eukaryota; Viridiplantae; Streptophyta; Magnoliopsida; Brassicales; Caricaceae.
GUACCAGCAUCAAGAGAGAGUACGCUAUGGAUUCUUCAAGGGACAUCAUCUUGGCUUACAUGCAAAACGGCGAGCGUUUAAGCCCUGACCAUGGAUUUCCUGUGAGGGUAAUUAUUCCCGGAUUUAUUGGUGGGCGCAUGGUAAAAUGGUUAAAACGGAUAAUAGUUGCCACUCAGGAAUCUGAAAAUUAUUACCAUUACAAAGACAACCGGGUACUUCCCUCCCAUGUUGAUGCGGAGCUCGCAAACGCCGAAGGUACAAGAUCUAACAUUAACAGGCCAGAUCUCAUACAUAGUAAAGUUCUGUAAAGAAAAAAAUAGUUAAUUAUAGUGAUUAAUUGCAGCUUGGUGGUAUAAGCCGGAGUACAUAAUCAACGAACUGAACAUAAACUCGGUGAUAACGACGCCGUGCCAUGAGGAGAUCUUACCGAUAAACUCGUGGACAACUCAGAGACCAUACACAUUGAGGGGAUAUGCGUACUCUGGUGAGUUUUAUUUCCUUAAUAGAUCUGUAUUUGACAUCACUAUUACUGCUGUUUUUGGUAAUGACGUCAUACUUAUUAUGAUGCCCCCUAACCCAACCAUUAGAAUUUAGUUGCCAAUAAACUACGAAAUCAAGCGGCACCCAAACCGUAACCCUCUGGACGUAAGCCUAGUUACGGUACUUCGUAAUGCGUGCUUUCGAUAUGCAAAACAUCAAUUGUCCUCUCUUAUUUUUUGAACACAACUAUAUGAAAGCGUGCAACGUUGUCGUAUUGAGGGAUUAGGAGUAGAAUCUAUUUAUCCAAUUGUAUGUAUCUUAAUCCCAUUAAUUAUGAAAAUCGAUGAAUUGGGUCUGCGACAUUCAAGUUGCAUGUAAGAG